UACAGAGGGUGCGAGCGUUGUCCGGAAUCACUGGGCGUAAAGGGCGCGUAGGCGGCUUGAUAAGCGUGCGGUGAAAGCCCGGGGCUCAACCCCGGGUCGGCCGUGCGAACUGUCGAGCUGGAGCACUGUAGAGGCAGGUGGAAUUCCGGGUGUAGUGGUGAAAUGCGUAGAGAUCCGGAGGAACACCAAAGGCGAAGGCAGUGUCCUGGGGAGUACCUGACGCUCAGGUGCGAAAGCCAGGGGAGCGAACGGG
This 253-nucleotide ribosomal RNA is filed under the name uncultured bacterium. Its description in RNAcentral is "partial 16S ribosomal RNA". It matches the Rfam family "Bacterial small subunit ribosomal RNA", at positions 524 to 776 of the family's 1533-position model. The record is from RNAcentral.